RNAcentral lists this long non-coding RNA (718 nucleotides) under Chrysemys picta bellii (western painted turtle). RNAcentral's name for it is "lncRNA (ENSCPBG00000015901.1)". The record is from RNAcentral. Lineage: Eukaryota; Metazoa; Chordata; Testudines; Emydidae.
CCACCAAUUAGGCACAGCUCUUUCUAAUCAGGGCUACUUCCUUAUCAGAGCAACUACUUGUUUCAGUGAGCAGAGCACUAUAUCAGUAGUUGUUUCAGUGCUCUGUUACAUUUUCUGUGAAGGAGAAUGCUGGAUGUAUACAAUCCUCUAACCAAAUGGUGUAGCAAUUAGUUGAAUACAUUUCUUGUUGUUAGGACUAGUCUCUAUUUUAUACUUUUUGAAGAACAAGAGAUGAGGCUAUACACACUACUUCUUGAAUACAUUCUAGGUAGAUCCAAACUUGAAAGAUACAGGCUCUAACCACUAGAUAGGGCUGCUGCCACCAGCUAACUGCUAGGAAGGAGAUCCACCCAUUGACAUCUACGGAGAACAUGGGCAUAAUGGCCCAGCCCUGCUGAAGGACGCACAGGAGACUCGGAGGAAUGGAGAAAAGAAAAAACAAAAACAAAACAAGGCAGCUAGAAGUAGACCAGGUGUCACAACAGCCUAACAUAUCAAGAACUGAAUAAGCUGGAGGCCCAGCUGCUUUGCUUCAUGUGAGGAUUUCAGCAACCCAAAUCCCAUCCUGUCCUAGCUGUUCAUUGCCCGGACCUGCAGGAGCUAAAAGUAUCACAGAAGCAGCACUGUCGACCUCAGCACGGAGUCACCUUCCAGUGAGCUUGCAUAGAAAAGCUGUAGUAAUAAGGCCUUCCAGCUAUUGUUACUGACUGUCACGAAC